GCUGGGUAUGGUGGUGGGCGCCUGUAAUCCCAGCUACUCGGGAGGCUGAGGCAGGAGAAUCGCUUGAACCCGGGAGGCAGGGGUUGCAGUGAGCCAAGGUCGCACGCCAUUGAACUCCAGCCUGGGUGACAGAGCGAGACUCUGUCUCAA
Macaca fascicularis (crab-eating macaque) is the source of this 150-nucleotide unclassified non-coding RNA. It matches the Rfam family "Metazoan signal recognition particle RNA". Rfam says of the family: The signal recognition particle (SRP) is a universally conserved ribonucleoprotein. It is involved in the co-translational targeting of proteins to membranes. The record is from Ensembl. Lineage: Eukaryota; Metazoa; Chordata; Mammalia; Primates; Cercopithecidae.